GAUGAGGAAAAUUACUCAUGGG
RNAcentral lists this non-coding RNA (22 nucleotides) under Rattus norvegicus (Norway rat). The record is from RNAcentral. Lineage: Eukaryota; Metazoa; Chordata; Mammalia; Rodentia; Muridae.